GAUGAACGCUGGCGGCGUGCCUAAUACAUGCAAGUCGAGCGAACGGACGAGAAGCUUGCUUCUCUGAUGUUAGCGGCGGACGGGUGGGUAACACGUGGAUAACCUACCUAUAAGACGGGGAUAACUUCGGGAAACCGGAGCUAAUACCGGAUGAUAUUUUGAACCGCAGGGUGCAAAAGUGAAAGACGGUCUUGCUGUCACUUAUAGAUGGAUCCGCGCUGCAUUAGCUAGUUGGUAAGGUAACGGCUUACCAAGGCAACGAUGCAUAGCCGACCUGAGAGGGUGAUCGGCCACACUGGAACUGAGACACGGUCCAGACUCCUACGGGAGGCAGCAGUAGGGAAUCUUCCGCAAUGGGCGAAAGCCUGACGGAGCAACGCCGCGUGAGUGAUGAAGGUCUUCGGAUCGUAAAACUCUGUUAUUAGGGAAGAACAUAUGUGUAAGUAACUGUGCACAUCUUGACGGUACCUAAUCAGAAAGCCACGGCUAACUACGUG
This 497-nucleotide ribosomal RNA is filed under the name uncultured bacterium. Its description in RNAcentral is "partial 16S ribosomal RNA". It matches the Rfam family "Bacterial small subunit ribosomal RNA", at positions 28 to 507 of the family's 1533-position model. The record is from RNAcentral.